This 528-nucleotide unclassified non-coding RNA is filed under the name Hevea brasiliensis (rubber tree). The record is from RNAcentral. Lineage: Eukaryota; Viridiplantae; Streptophyta; Magnoliopsida; Malpighiales; Euphorbiaceae.
AGCUUGAAGUGUCCUUUCCCAUUGUCCCCUAGAAGUUGAUGAAUUUGAAGAUGAUAAGUGAGUAAGCCCAUUUUCUAAAGAAAAUAGAUCAUUUGAUCCAUGACAUUGGUCAAGCCUUUUCAUCUUUUUCUUUAGAUGAGUAUUCCAGUAGUUUUUUAUGUCGUUAUCUGUUCUCUCUGGCAGAUAGGAAGCUAUUGCAGCCCAUUUGUUUCCUAAAAGUGCUUGAAGCUGGAUAAUCAUUUUUUCUUCUUGAUCUGUGAAGUUACCCCUCUUUAUCCCUGGCCUAAGGUAGUUUGUCCAUCUUAGCCUGCAGCUCUUGCUACACCUACGCAACCCUGUUUUAGUGGGAAGUGCCCUCCAAUUGCCUGGACCAUGUUGUUGCACAUAAGAGACUAACAUUAUAUCUUCUUCAGGAGUCCAUGGCCCUUUCUUCACUCCCAUUUUAUCACAACAAGGGACUCUACCCAUUGGAACACAACCCUUUUUUUGCCUUGUUUUGUGGAAUUCUUCUUUUCUUGGGAAAAAAAG